GCUCCGGUGGCCUAGUGGUUAGAGCGUCCGCCUCAAAUGCGGGAGGUCGUGGGUUCGAUCCCCGGUCGAGUCA
Molecule: non-coding RNA, 73 nt
Organism: Potamilus streckersoni
Lineage: Eukaryota; Metazoa; Mollusca; Bivalvia; Unionida; Unionidae
Source: the annotation of a GenBank genome assembly